This 207-nucleotide long non-coding RNA is filed under the name Elaeis guineensis (African oil palm). RNAcentral describes it as "long non-coding RNA (EGUI_LNC049200)". Lineage: Eukaryota; Viridiplantae; Streptophyta; Magnoliopsida; Arecales; Arecaceae. The record is from RNAcentral.
CUGUAAGCUUUCUGAGAGUGUCUCAUUUAAAACUCUUUCUCCUACUUCUUAUCUUUGGAAGAGUCUAAAUUAAGAUGAAGGAGGCAUCUGAUCGACUACCGAAGAAGGAUCAGUAUAGUACUAGCAUACUGUGCUGAUUUUCUGGAUCAGAACUUCUGAUCGUGAUUCGUGGGCUCGUGUGGAUGACUCCUAGAGGCCAAAUGCAUG